Non-coding RNA from Pelodiscus sinensis (Chinese soft-shelled turtle), 1530 nucleotides. Lineage: Eukaryota; Metazoa; Chordata; Testudines; Trionychidae. The record is from RefSeq and is a predicted model, not a curated record.
GGGAGGGGAGCCCUCGGCGGCGGCCUCAGCUCCUCCUCCUCCCCAUCAGGGCACCGCUCAGGAGCCGCCUCGCCGUGCUCGCAAAGCAUGCUGGGAAUAGCAAGGGUUGCCCUUUCCGGUGCCUGACACGAAGACGCCCCCCCAGCACGGCUUCAAAGGGCGAGGAGGGGCUCUGCCCUCCCGCUGCACGUUAAUCCCGCUGCUUUCGCUGCUCCUGUCGCCCUAGGAUGAGCUGUUGGAGGGGUGGUGGAUCAGCCAGCACAAGAGGCCCCUCAGGCCCUCUGAGGGCAGCUAUGACCCUUGACAGUCGGUGACUGACCCCGCCCUCGGCUGGAGCAGGUGGGACCUGGGAUAAGACACCUGCUGGCAAGUGGCCCGGCCCCACGAGGGAGCCCUGUCCCUUUAAGGCGGCGGGAGAGAGAGGAGCUCGUUCCCUGCCUCCCUGGCGGCUCCCGGGCUGCGAGUCCCUGCGCCGUCCCUCACGCUGCACUGGUCCCCGGCCCCUCGCUUCCACGCGCCCUCUGGCCCCGCUGUUAGGGGCAACGGCAGGGGCCCCGUGACUGCUGACGCGAUUGGCACGAGGGAUUGGGGAGGGGGUCACGAGGCUGGGCCGUUGCAGAGUCAGAAACCGCUGCUCUCAAAAUCUGCUCCCGGUAGCAGUUACUGACAUUCUAGUCCGUCCGUUUGGGCGUCUCACAGUUUCUGCUACCCACGCACGUCUCACUGGUCCGGGGCGGGGGCCUUUCGCAUAGGGGGAGCUAGUCCAGACUGAUGGGGUUCACUGUGUCACAGCUGCUUCUGACGCUGCACCGGGCACUGGGGGACUGGCACGGGUAGAUGAGGAGUCCCCCCGAGCUACCUGGCCUCCGUCACACCGCUCCACCAUCCCUGCCCCCAGAUGUGUCUGGCCACAGAUGUGUCUGUGAAAUAGGAGUAGCAUCUGCGGGGCAGUCCUGUACCUGACGCGGCAGCUGUGACCCAUUUCCCGCUCCAGCCCCCAGCCUCUGGGAAAGGAGUUCAGUGUUGUAGGAGCAAGUAAAAUGUCAUUAAAAGGGACCUGCUCAGCCCUCCCCCCGCCCCUUUUUUGGUUGUUGUUGCUUCUGCCCCAAAUGAUGAGUGAGUCAAUUUCAUGCCCAGUGUGGUACAAUUUAUGUGUCUAAUUCUCAAGGCUUCCCUGUAAAUGGACUGGUCUAACACUACUGUUGAAAUAAGUGAGGAAAUUAAGAGUUGAUGGAUUUGUCAAUACAGUUAAUACCCCAGGUGACUGAAAUCCUCUGUUUCGCGUGACUGACAGUGUUUUAAAACCUUAGAAAGGUUGUUGGUCUAAGCAUCAUUUUUAAUAUACCUAAACUUCUUGGAACCACAGAGUGUAGUCCAUCUUGGAUGAUUUAGAUCUUCAUAUUUCCAAGUAUUAUAGGAUUGUGUUUGUGGGUUGGCUGCUACUCUCCACUUCAGAUAUGGCUGUUCUUCAGUGAUAUUUUGUGUAUGUGGUCUGUGAAGAGCUUUGGAAUAAAAGAAGGCGUGUAAAUU